CAGCCGCCGCGGUAAUACGUAGGUGGCAAGCGUUGUCCGGAAUUAUUGGGCGUAAAGCGCGCGCAGGCGGUUUCUUAAGUCUGAUGUGAAAGCCCCCGGCUUAACUGGGGAGGGUCAUUGGAAACUGGGAGACUUAGAGUGCAGAAGAGGAGAGUGGAAUUCCAUGUGUAGCGGUGAAAUGCGUAGAGAUGUGGAGGAACACCAGUGGCGAAGGCGACUCUCUGGUCUGUAACUGACGCUGAGGAGCGAAAGCGUGGGGAGCGAACAGGAUUAGAUACCCCAGUAGUCCCUGUCUCUUAUA
Molecule: ribosomal RNA, 301 nt
Filed under: uncultured bacterium
Lineage: Bacteria
Description: partial 16S ribosomal RNA
Rfam family: Bacterial small subunit ribosomal RNA
Source: RNAcentral